ACCUCGUCUCCAGCUGAGGCUGAGGGAGCACGCCUUUGUUUAGGGCCCCUUGUCCCGGCCUGUGUCAGAGCUUGCAGGGGCGUUGGGCCUCUCUCUGCAGGGAGGACUGGUUUUAGAGGACUCCCGCUUCCCCCAGUUGUAUCAGUUCAGGUGUAAGCCCGAUAUGCAAUAGGAUCCGGCGUGGUGUCCACACUCAUUAGACACAUGGCAUCGUUUCCAAAGAUACAGGCCCCUGCACUUCAGCUUGAUGCCAGAGGGCUUACACAUAAACUCUGCUUGACUUGGAAAUCAAAGAGAGGUGAGAAGAGUUCAGAUUUUCUCCUGCUGAGGUAGAAGGCUUGCCAAGAGACAAGACUGGACUCAUAAGGUCUGCAACUGGCUUUAUCUAGUUAAUAGCAGACUUUGACAUCACAAAACAUGCUAUUUCCUUGUGUUCAUGUCUUUAAGAGGAGCCACGGUGAAAGCAAACAUUAAAGAUUUUAAUCUAACAAAAAUGUGGAGUGAAAGUAAGACAUUUUACACCUGCUCUCUGCACUACUAUUUCAGGAGGAGGUCGGUCGCUGAUCUUGAAACUGUUAUUCAUAAAUGUUUUCCAUCUGUGUUUGUUUCUGAUUUCUCAUCUGCAUCUGCAGUUAUGAAAUGUCCUCCAAUGUUUGUCUCUUCUUCCUGAAAUACGGUCUAUUUCACAUUGCACUGCCCAUUUUCACAAGGCAUCACUGGACUAGGGAGUCCUCAGAGAAAGCCAGGUAUGGUUCAGCUGUUUCCUUUCCAGUGUAUAUGACACUUGGGAAAAAGACAGCUUGAGGGUAAAUUUGCCUCAUCGUUAGAGAUACCUCAUUAAUAUUAAGUCUGCAAAACAAGUCCUCUCUUUAAUUCGACACUUCCAAAAUGAACAAAGAAUUACAGUGCCCUGCAGUAAAAGGCGACUUAAUUGCAUUUGGCCAAUAUUUAUUUCGUGCACACUGUGUAAGACACAUUGAACUAGAGAGUAUAAAAAUUGGUAAAUUACCAUCUCUUAACUAAAUAAUCUUAUGGUCUCAUAACAGAAAUAGGGUACAAUGAAUGUACAAAUAACAAUUUUAAUAAAGAUAAUAAUGAGAUUUUUAAAUGAUUAAAGUUAUUUUCCAAGAACACUUUAAACACAGUGCUUAAAUUGUUUCUAUUUAUUGAGCUUCUACUACAAUGAAGACUACAUGGUAAUUCUAGGAUUAGAGAUGCAUGAGCAACACACACACACACACACACACACACACCCUGCCCCCAACUCACAAACAGUAGAAAGCAUGUGACAUUAAAUAAUUGCAUCAUUUAAUUCUUGCAACAGCCGUGGUAUUAUAAUCCCCCAUUACACAUGAGCACACUCGGUGUAACCAUAGGGAGUUGAUCUGCUGCCAGCCACACUGAAGAGGCAGGACAUACUUCAGGUAUCAGGGGUUGAGAUUUGGCUAUGAGAGCUAGAAUGUCUGGUUCCAACUCCAGUUCCACAACAUGAAAGCUGCAUGACACUGAGCAAGUUACUCAAUAUCUCUGUCUGAGUUUCCCCGCGCUGUAAAGGUUUGUUUUAAGAAGUGAAUUAAUCCUCAUCUUGAUCUACCUAGGGAGAUCUAGUAUACAAGAAAUUCCUCUGUCAUCUUUACUUCUUUUUAAUCAAAAAGUUAAACAACUUCA
This 1668-nucleotide long non-coding RNA is filed under the name Pan troglodytes (chimpanzee). Its description in RNAcentral is "lincRNA". Lineage: Eukaryota; Metazoa; Chordata; Mammalia; Primates; Hominidae. The record is from RNAcentral.